CCUGCUUGUCAUUCCCCCUCGCCUCGGUCGGCCGCCGCUUUUGUUGGUCAUGUUGUCAGCUUCGUCUUUCUGGGUAAAGCUCGGUUUCUUCGUUCUGCGCCGCAUGCCGACUUCGACCACGAUGACCUCAUCAUCGCGCUGGUCCCCGCACGGCCCAGCGGCGGCCGCUUCUCGCGCCGGGAUGAGCGAUAGGAGAACCACCAACGCUCGAGUUCACGGGGCAGACGGUCCAGCUCUGCGACGACGGCCGUGCUCAUCACCGUAAUCGCAUCUUCAUCUCCAUCUCCGCCUCCGGCCUGGCUUGGUUCGAAUCGGAAUCCAUCUAUUCUCGCAAACAAUUUUGGUUAAAAUCUAAAACUGAUUCUCGAUUCGGUUCUUCAAUGCUUUUUUUCACGAGAUCGAUUCUCCCCCCCCCCAACUUUUGCAUCGAGUCUUAGGAGGAAGAUGCAGAGGAGAGCUAGGUCACGAGAAGAUAAACCAGGCAGCACCAUGGUGGCUCUCUCUAUGUCAUCUGCCUGUUCUCGGGUGAUUUCGGACCCUCAAACUCUAUGUCUUGCAGUAUUGGAUUGAUAUGGACAUCAAUGAUUAUCUACCCCAAAAGGAAAUCAUUCUCCUGUUGUCUUAGUUUUUUCUUCUGGUGUGUAUUUCCAGAUUUCUAAAGUACCGUCAUGGUGAGAGCCCAUAAGCAUCGCAUUCAGUUGUCUCUGCAACAUGUUUUCCAUGGAUGAUAGCAAAUUAUCGGUCUAAAUAGUUGGACAUGGAAUGUCCUUCCGCAUAUCAAAAUCUUUCAAAGGUAGAUUCUCGCAAUUUGUACCUGUGACAGAACUGAAAUUUAUUUCAGCCAUGGAUCCCCACCGAUUGCUAUGUACUUAGUCCAUCUAUAGGUUUUUUUUUUUUGUUUGUCCAUCUAUUGUUAUUAUUAAGCAUUCCACAUUUUCUCUCUCUAACAAUCCUUUCUGCAAUUGCAGAGGGUGACCCAGCUUGCACUAGGUGAUCAUCAUUUUCCUUAUAUCUUUGCUUAUAAAUUCCAGUCAUAAAAUUUGUAGUUAAUUUCCUUUUAGUUGAUUUGUUUCCCUUUGGUUGUUUCAUCGCCAUUAUAGCCUCUUUCUGCGAUAAUAUUUCCUUUCAUAUCGCUAGCAACCUGUAUCUAUAUAUGUUAACUUGAAAGGGAUUAUCGGUGAGGUCACUGAAUUGACCUCUCAGCUGCUGAUUUUAUCCUAUUGCCUACCACUGCUAGCUUAGCUCAGCUGUGACUCUUCUUCCUAAAUUUUCCUAUUACCUGAUAGUUGCAUAUAUUAUAGUUUAAUUGUACUUAGAUGGGUUGUAUGUUGUUUACAUUGUUGCCAUGUAAAUAUGUGAAUCAGACUUUUCCCUCUCAUGUGACUACUUAAUUUUGUUUUCUUUUUCACAUGGAUUAAUUUUAUGAGGUCAUUAAACUGAUUUUUUUGAUAUAGGAUAUAACUCUGCACCUACCAUUCUAGAAUUUUACAUCAGGUUAUGCUUUCUAUCAACUUCUAUUCACCAAAAGUUUUAUAUGGCAGUGCAAAUAGUUCAAUUCAGUGUAAAAAAUCUUUGUUAAAAUGGGAUAUGUGCUGGUUUUUUAUUCUUAUUAUUCCUUAUGCAUGUUUCCCUGAAUCAUUUCACCUGACUCCGUGGACUUCAAAUAGCUUUGCUGCAAAUAUCAAAUAUGUUCCAUGCAUCCGCAUAUUACUUGCAAAAAAAUGAUAUUACCUAUCAACUAUCAACUUGAUGCUGUUUUCAAACUUCCCAUGGCACUAUCUUCAAUUCAGCCAAAUGUAGGACAUUACCUACACUUUUCUUUGUUAGGUAUUUUUUUUGCCGUUAUUACUAAUUGGAAUGUAUACCUCAUUUUUAUGCUUUACUGCUCAAGAGCAGCACCCUCCUGUCGUAGCUUAAUCAGGCAAGGACAAGAACCCGCUCACGAACAAACAAACUUGAUUGCUUGCUCCAGCUCUGGACCUACACUGCCUAAGCUAGCAAGGAUCAUGUCUAUGAUAUCUUUGGAGGUUGGCAACCAAUCAUGUCCAAGCACUCUCCAAACAAAAACUGUUCCUAAAUAGAUAUCUUUCUGUUUCAUGUAUGUUCGCAGCACAAUUGCUUAUUAUGAUUUCAAGGCUGUAACCACAUCAAUUGUAUAUCGGCAGAACUAUCAUAUUUAUUGCGGCCUUCAUGUACUGUUGUGCUUGCAUGGUCAUACACUUUAUUA
Long non-coding RNA from Panicum virgatum (switchgrass), 2227 nucleotides. RefSeq lists it as uncharacterized. The transcript is spliced from 4 exons. Lineage: Eukaryota; Viridiplantae; Streptophyta; Magnoliopsida; Poales; Poaceae. The record is from RefSeq and is a predicted model, not a curated record.